GACGAACGCGGCGGCGUGCUUAACACAUGCAAGUCGAACGGAGCGAAUGAAAGCUUGCUUUUAUAAGCUUAGUGGCAAACGGGUGAGUAACACGUAGACAACCUGCCGACAGGAUGGGGACAACAUUCCGAAAGGAAUGCUAAUACCGAAUGAAGCGCGGGAGAGGCAUCUCUCCUGCGUGAAAGAUGGCCUCUAUAUAUAAGCUAUCACCUGUUGAUGGGUCUGCGUCUGAUUAGCUGGUAGGUGAGGUAACGGCUCACCUAGGCGACGAUCAGUAGCCGGUCUGAGAGGAUGAACGGCCACAUUGGGACUGAGACACGGCCCAGACUCCUACGGGAGGCAGCAGUGGGGAAUCUUCCGCAAUGGGGCGCAAAGCCCUGACGGGAGCAAACGCCCGCGUGAGGAAAGAAAGGUCUUUCGGA
RNAcentral lists this ribosomal RNA (422 nucleotides) under Centipeda noxia. RNAcentral describes it as "bacterial SSU rRNA". It matches the Rfam family "Bacterial small subunit ribosomal RNA", at positions 28 to 422 of the family's 1533-position model. Lineage: Bacteria; Bacillati; Bacillota; Negativicutes; Selenomonadales; Selenomonadaceae. The record is from RNAcentral.